GCUUGCUACCUGACCUAGCGGCGGACGGGUGAGUAAUGCUUAGGAAUCUGCCUAUUAGUGAGGGACAACAUUCCGAAAGGAAUGCUAAUACCGCAUACGCCCUACGGGGGAAAGCAGGGGAUCUUCGGACCUUGCGCUAAUAGAUGAGCCUAAGUCAGAUUAGCUAGUUGGUGGGGUAAAGGCCUACCAAGGCGACGAUCUGUAGCGGGUCUGAGAGGAUGAUCCGCCACACUGGGACUGAGACACGGCCCAGACUCCUACGGGAGGCAGCAGUGGGGAAUAUUGGACAAUGGGCGAAAGCCUGAUCCAGCCAUGCCGCGUGUGUGAAGAAGGCCUUUUGGUUGUAAAGCACUUUAAGCGAGGAGGAGGCUACUUGGAUUAAUACUCUAGGAUAGUGGACGUUACUCGCAGAAUAAGCACCGGCUAACUCUGUGCCAGCAGCCGCGGUAAUACAGAGGGUGCGAGCGUUAAUCGGAUUUACUGGGCGUAAAGCGUGCGUAGGCGGCUUUUUAAGUCGGAUGUGAAAUCCCUGAGCUUAACUUAGGAAUUGCAUUCGAUACUGGGAAGCUAGAGUAUGGGAGAGGAUGGUAGAAUUCCAGGUGUAGCGGUGAAAUGCGUAGAGAUCUGGAGGAAUACCGAUGGCGAAGGCAGCCAUCUGGCCUAAUACUGACGCUGAGGUACGAAAGCAUGGGGAGCAAACAGGAUUAGAUACCCUGGUAGUCCAUGCCGUAAACGAUGUCUACUAGCCGUUGGGGCCUUUGAGGCUUUAGUGGCGCAGCUAACGCGAUAAGUAGACCGCCUGGGGAGUACGGUCGCAAGACUAAAACUCAAAUGAAUUGACGGGGGCCCGCACAAGCGGUGGAGCAUGUGGUUUAAUUCGAUGCAACGCGAAGAACCUUACCUGGUCUUGACAUAGUAAGAACUUUCCAGAGAUGGAUUGGUGCCUUCGGGAACUUACAUACAGGUGCUGCAUGGCUGUCGUCAGCUCGUGUCGUGAGAUGUUGGGUUAAGUCCCGCAACGAGCGCAACCCUUUUCCUUAUUUGCCAGCGGGUUAAGCCGGGAACUUUAAGGAUACUGCCAGUGACAAACUGGAGGAAGGCGGGGACGACGUCAAGUCAUCAUGGCCCUUACGACCAGGGCUACACACGUGCUACAAUGGUCGGUACAAAGGGUUGCUACCUAGCGAUAGGAUGCUAAUCUCAAAAAGCCGAUCGUAGUCCGGAUUGGAGUCUGCAACUCG
Molecule: ribosomal RNA, 1241 nt
Filed under: uncultured Acinetobacter sp.
Lineage: Bacteria; Pseudomonadati; Pseudomonadota; Gammaproteobacteria; Moraxellales; Moraxellaceae
Description: bacterial SSU rRNA
Rfam family: Bacterial small subunit ribosomal RNA
Source: RNAcentral